GAUGAACGCUGGCGGCGUGCCUAAUACAUGCAAGUCGAGCGAACAGAUAAGGAGCUUGCUCCUUUGACGUUAGCGGCGGACGGGUGAGUAACACGUGGGUAACCUACCUAUAAGACUGGAAUAACUCCGGGAAACCGGGGCUAAUGCCGGAUAACAUUUAGAACCGCAUGGUUCUAAAGUGAAGGUGGGUUUUCCAUUCCCUAUUAAUGGACCCGCGCCGUAUUAGCUAGUUGGUAAGGUAACGGCUUACCAAGGCAACGAUACGUAGCCGACCUGAGAGGGUGAUCGGCCACACUGGAACUGAGACACGGUCCAGACUCCUACGGGAGGCAGCAGUAGGGAAUCUUCCGCAAUGGGCGAAAGCCUGACGGAGCAACGCCGCGUGAGUGAUGAAGGUCUUCGGAUCGUAAAACUCUGUUAUUAGGGAAGAACAAAUGUGUAAGUAACUGUGCACGUCUUGACGGUACCUAAUCAGAAAGCCACGGCUAACUACGUG
Molecule: ribosomal RNA, 496 nt
Filed under: uncultured bacterium
Lineage: Bacteria
Description: partial 16S ribosomal RNA
Rfam family: Bacterial small subunit ribosomal RNA
Source: RNAcentral